Long non-coding RNA from Canis lupus familiaris (dog), 303 nucleotides. RefSeq lists it as uncharacterized. The transcript is spliced from 3 exons. NCBI's taxonomy places the organism in Eukaryota, Metazoa, Chordata, Mammalia, Carnivora, Canidae. The record is from RefSeq and is a predicted model, not a curated record.
UGGAGGUCAAGAGGUAAAUAUGUAAUAAUUCAGAUUAAGCUAGAUCUCUUGAUGGGUCUGCUCAAAGCCGAUUAGUGUGCUGGUGUGUAAUACCUGGAAUGUACAGAGCAUGGACUUGAGCCACACUGCCCAGGGUUCAGACCUCAGCUCCACCACUUACUCCCUGUGAGGCUUUGGGUGCCAGCUGCCAGCUGCCAUGGAAGCAUAGAGCCUGACUGAUGAUUAUAGCCUGGGAAUCACCAAGGGUCACAGAAGCCCAGACACUGAAGUGAACUUUGAAGAAAGUGGAGAUAUUUAUUCAAG